This 262-nucleotide long non-coding RNA is filed under the name Glycine max (soybean). Its description in RNAcentral is "long non-coding RNA (GMAX_LNC000844)". The record is from RNAcentral. Lineage: Eukaryota; Viridiplantae; Streptophyta; Magnoliopsida; Fabales; Fabaceae.
UUUUGCAAUUUGUUUUUUCUCAAAAUGGUACCUCUUUCCUCCACUUCCCACAUGCAAGGCUCUGAUGAUUGUAAUGCCAAAGGGGGUAACUUGUCAGCAUGAGGCUACUUCCCUGAUCAUAGAAAUGAAACAGUCUUUUACGUGGAAAAGACAAGAUAGAGAGAUUUGAACGAAUACGGCACGCCAAAGCUCUCUCUCAUCUCUUGCCCCAAUGAUGGAUCAACCUAGUCUCUGAACUCAAUGAAGUCAUGGUUUAAAUGGG